GCGGAAGGANCAUUAUCGAAUGAAAAAAAUUGAACGAGUUGUUGCUGGCUCCUUUGAUGGGCAUGUGCACGCUUGUCAUUUUUAUCUCAUCUCUCCUCUUGUGCACCAACUGUGGGUCUGGAGUUUGUUUGAAAUCCUUUGGAUUUUGAUUGAGGACUGCUUCUCAGCUUUUCCUUGCAUCUCUGGGUCUAUGUCUUUUACAAUCUCUCUGAAUGUAGAACUUUGAUGGUAUACAUAAAAUAUAUACAACUUUCAGCAACGGAUCUCUUGGCUCUCGCAUCGAUGAAGAACGCAGCGAAAUGCGAUAAGUAAUGUGAAUUGCAGAAUUCAGUGAAUCAUCGAAUCUUUGAACGCAUCUUGCGCUCCUUGGUAUUCUGAGGAGCAUGCCUGUUUGAGUGUCAUCAAGCUCUCAACCACAUCAAUUUGCUUUGAUGUGGAUUGGACAUGGGAUUUUGCAGGCCAAUUUUGAUCUGCUUUCCUGAAAUAGAUUAGUGGUAUCUGAGCAGAGGCUACUACAGGUGUGAUAACUUAUCUAUGCCUAUUGUAAAGUGCUGCACAAACUGCUUCCAAAUCUUGAUUUUUGACCAAUUUGACCUCAAAUCAGGUGGGACUACCCGCUGAACUUAAGCAUAU
This 633-nucleotide ribosomal RNA is filed under the name uncultured Inocybe. RNAcentral describes it as "eukaryotic LSU rRNA". The stretch from base 248 to 401 matches the Rfam family "5.8S ribosomal RNA". The record is from RNAcentral. Lineage: Eukaryota; Fungi; Basidiomycota; Agaricomycetes; Agaricales; Cortinariaceae.